UAAUACAUGCACCAAAGCUCUGACCUUGCGGAAAGAGUGCAUUUAUUAGAGCAAAACCAAGCGGCCUCGGUCGUUUUUUGCUGACUCAGAAUAACUUAGCUGAUCGCACGGUCUUUGAACCGGCGACGUGUCUUUUGAGUAUCUGCCUUAUCAAUUUUCGAUGGUAGUGUAUCUGACUACCAUGGUGUUGACGGGUAACGGAGAAUAAGGGUUCGACUCCGGAGAAGGGGCCUGAGAAAUGGCCACUACGUCUAAGGAUGGCAGCAGGCGCGCAAAUUACCCACUCUCGGAAUGAGGAGGUAGUGACGAGAAAUAACGAGACCGUUCUCUAUGAGGCCGGUUAUCGGAAUGGGUACAAUUUAAACCCUUUAACGAGUAUCUAUGAGAGGGCAAGUCUGGUGCCAGCAGCCGCGGUAAUUCCAGCUCUCAAAAUGCAUAGAACCAUUGCUGCGGUUAAAAAGCUCGUAGUUGAAUUUAUGCCAGAGGCCUGGUCCACCUUAUGGGUGUGUACUAGGUUCUUCGGCUUUUCGUCGGUUUUCUUGUCGUGGCCUUUACUGGUGGCGGCAAGUGGCUGACAAUUUUACUUUGAACAAAUCAGAGUGCUCAAAACAGGCGUUUUGCUUGUAUGCUUUUGCAUGGAAUAAUAGAAUAUGACUUCGGUCUAGUUUUAUUGGUUUUAUAGACCGUUGUAAUGAUUAAAAGAGACAAACGGGGGCAUUCGGNUUGUUGCGUGAGAGGUGAAAUUCUUGGACCGCAGCAAGACGACCUACA
RNAcentral lists this ribosomal RNA (771 nucleotides) under Howardula sp. 2123 #4 JPD-2022. RNAcentral describes it as "SSU rRNA". It matches the Rfam family "Eukaryotic small subunit ribosomal RNA", at positions 165 to 944 of the family's 1831-position model. The record is from RNAcentral. Lineage: Eukaryota; Metazoa; Nematoda; Chromadorea; Rhabditida; Allantonematidae.